AGUUGGUUGGGAAAGAUGGCAAUAUGAUGGCGUAAGGCAUAAGCAGCGAAGUGAAAUCUGAUGCGCUUUUGGCGAUUUCACUGGGAAUUUCCAUAUCCAUACUUCUCCCACUGCUUUUCCAAUGUCUUCCUACCUUCAACUCCAACUCCGUCUUCCUCUUCUGCGUCGCCGUCCUAUUCAAUGCGCUUCCGACCGCCAGGCAUUGUUCAACCGUAUUGCGCCUGUUUAUGAUACUUUAAAUGACUUCCUCAGCUUGGGCCAGCAUCGUAUUUGGAAACGGAUGGCCGUCUCCUGGAGCUGUGCGAAGCCAGGAGACUGCGUCUUGGAUAUAUGUUGUGGAAGCGGCGAUUUGGCCUUCCUUUUAUCUCAGAAAGUUGGAUCCACCGGCAAGGUGACGGGUCUUGAUUUCUCAUGGGAGCAGCUAAGUAUUGCUUCUUCUCGCCAACGUUCCCUCUCCAAACCCUGCUAUGAGAACAUUGGGUGGGUGGAGGGUGAUGCACUCAAUUUGCCAUUUCCUGACUGCUCUUUUGAUGCCAUUACAAUGGGCUAUGGCCUACGAAAUGUGGUGGAUAAACGGAAAGCACUAGAGGAAAUAUUUAGAGUACUCAAAGAAGGUAGUAAGGCAUCAAUUCUCGAUUUUAACAAGACUACACAACCCACUGUUGCUGCUAUUCAGGAGUGGAUGAUCAACAACAUUGUCGUCCCUGUGGCAUCUAGUUAUGGCCUUGCUGAUGAUUACAGAUAUUUGUCCAAAUCCAUCCGUGAAUUUUCAACAGGAAAGGAAUUGGAAGACCUCGCUUUAGAAGUAGGAUUCUCGACCUCUGUACAUUAUGAACUUAGUGGAGGCCUUAUGGGAAAUUUGGUGGCAUCUCGUUAAAUGGGAUUCAUGUUUUCUCUUGGUUCAAAGCUUUGAACUAGAGUACCUGAGAAUAUGCUAUUUGGCUUCAUGUCUUUGAUGCAUUAAGUUCUGUGACAUUUUCAACGGUGCUCUGUUUCAUGAGAUUGGCAAUUUUUGCGAGGAAUGCAAUGCCAUUUCCCAUUCUUGGGAACGUUUUAGUGCUUUAGGUAAGAGAGACGGAAGGAUUCCCCAGUUUAUGGUAGUUAUCUGGGAUAAAAUGAACUAUGGCCGACUGUGGCAGUAGAAGAUCCCUCCGUAUUCGAAUAACAUCGUGAGUACUUGCAUGAAUCAUCAAGUUCCAUGGUCAUCUCAUCCAUGAAGGGUGGUUUGGUGGGUGGAGGAAGAUGCUCUUCCUCCAUGGUCAGCAUUCGUAGUACCUUUGACAUUGUUGGCCGUAGAGAUGGAAUCUCCUGGAUGCAUAAGAGCCCUAUGUGCACCACUCUCACUACCUCGUCCUUUACUUUCUUGUUAUAGUGAUUCUGAAGAUUGAGACUUGGAUCAAAUAAUCUCUCAACUGUGCCUGCUUGGAAAUGUCUCCAUAUCUAUUUUACCAUGUAGAAACACAAGGGAGAAGGGAGAUGUCAUACUACUGUUUGUAGAAUUUUGCAUUCAUAGAAAUAUAUGUAAUGGUUUCGUAGAACUUACAGCAGUGACUAGACUUUCAAUGUUUCCGGAGACUUGAAUGCCGCUAUAUUGCAACCCUGUAACAAUUUCUAACAAGAGCACUCCAAAACUAUAGACAUCGGCCUUCUCUGAUAACUGACCAUAAGCUAGAUACUCUGGAGCCAUAUAUCCUCUGGAGAUGCAGAAGGUAGAAAAAGGGAACGUUAUUAGCUCUGCAAACCUUCUAUUAGCUUUUAUCUAAUUGAAUAUAUUUCAAACUGACUGAAAAAGAACUUGUUCAUGAGAAAACAUACAGGGUUCCUGCAACAGCCGUGCUAAUAUGGCUCUUGCUUUCUUGGAAAGACCUUGCCAAUCCAAAAUCUGCUAUUUUCGCUUGAUACUUUAAGUCCAGCAAGAUAUUACUGGCCUUUAUAUCUCUGUGUAUGAUUUUGAACUUCGGGUUUUCAUGUAGAUAUAUUAAACCUUCAACCGUUCCAGUGAUGAUGUUAUAUCUCUUAUCCCAAUCUAGAGCUCUACUGUUACUGGUAUCUGUGUAAUUUUUUGAAAAAGUUAAGGUAAGAUCUUUGAAUUACUAUAAUCAAUGUAUUUUAUAGUGAUAGCUGCAGUACAUACCGAAAAUGAAGCGAUCAAGACUCUUGUUUGGUAGGAAUUCAUAAACAAGAAGGCUUUCAGGUCCAGAACAACUGCAUCCAAGCAACCUUACCAGAUUUUUAUGUUCAACACUGCUGAUCAUGUUUACUUCAUUGUAGAAAUCUGCUGCUCUAUGUCUGUUAUCAUAGAAGAAUCUCUUGACAGCAAUCUCUCUUCCAUCGGAUAGAGUACCCUGUGAGGAAUGAGAAUGAAAAAUGAAUGGUGUGUUUUCGGUUAAAAUUGAAGAUUGUAGGACCUUCUCAGAUGGAGAGGAAGAAUAACUACCUUAUAAACUGAGCCAAACCCCCCUUGUCCAAUCUUGUUAUCUAGGCUGAAAUUGUUUGUUGCUUUUUCAAGGGUUGAGUACUUGAAUUCCAAGUUACUAUCUUGAAGAGUUUUUGCCAACUUCUUCACGUCAGUUGAACCUCCUGAAGUGUAAAUCGUAUCAUUUGAAGAAAAAAAUGUCAAUUAAACUCCCUCAAAGGGUCCUCACCAUGAAACUUGCAGCUUUACCUUUCCUCUUCUUUUUAAUAUAUCUGCGCUUCCAGAUAUAAGUGCCAAUCGCCAGACCAAUUAUCAAAACAACAACAGAACUCAAGACUGAAACUAUCAAUUCAGUUCUCGUGCCACCUGCAGACAAGGCAUCGUUUUAAACAUUGUGAGAGUGGAAUAGUUGGUUAGCAUACUCUAAACUUGUGGCAUAGGAUCAGUGUUACCUCUGGAACUAUUUUUAAUGUCCUGAUUGAGGAAGUCUGUAUUUGAAUAUCUCAUGAAGCAGCCUGUGUUCAAUGCCCGUGCUUCCGAUCGAGGUAAACAUCUUAACAUUGAAGCAGAAGCAAUUUGCAAACAUGUGCUGCAAGAACUGCGGUUUAAACUUCUCCAGCACUGACCCAGAGCAUAAGCGGCAGAUUCAUUUGCCAUCCCGGCCACAGCCAUUCGAGCUUUCGCAAAGCCUCGGUUGUCUGGUGCACCAUUGACCACUUGCAUCACUGCCUCCGUGGCUGCUUGUCUGUAGUUGGGGUCAUUUUGGGUAAAGUUCCCGCAAAUUGCAGUGUCUUCAGGUCCUUUAUAUUCAUCAAAGAAGCUGUAGUUUUCGAACCUCAGGAAGCAGCCAUCGAUGAAAGCUCGACCGCCGUUGAAAGGAAAGCAUUGGGGAAGCAUUGUACGUGCUUGAGAAUGACACAGCACACAUUCAAGGGAUGAGAGAUCUCCAUGGCAUUGAGCAAGCCCAUAGCUGGCAUCGGGUCCUAUUCCUGUACCAGCGGUUCCAAAUCCUGAAGUUCUGAUUUGUUGUCUAACUUUUUCCAUGGAACCAAAAAAGUUUGGGACAUAUGCGGUGGUGUUGUGCUCCAGUUCUUUCCCGCAAAUCACUCUCACAGUUCGAUCUCUUGGCUUCCCUAAAAUCGAAGUUGCUUGCAGCAGAAGUAAAGUGAUGACCGAAAAUAGGAUAUAUUUAGAAGCAUAAACAAGCUGGAUCCCCAUGGAAUCUGGAUUUCUGUUGGAUCCAGAGGAAGCCGAAGAAGGAGAAGGAGAAGAAGAAAAUUGGAUGACAGUUUCUGUGGAAGGUUCUACCCAAAUGGAAGUUUAAAAUUUUUGUAUUGAAAAUGAGGGGGUGAUGUAAUGGGAGUGGAUGGCUCUAAUCGACACGAAGUCGUCAAGUCCAGGAAGGAGAAGGAGAGGGAGGGAACGAGACCUCUCCAUUCAGUCAACAACGGCGGCUUCCUCUCUUUUCUUGCAAGCAAUUAUUUUGUUUUAACAAAUGAAAUUAUGGUGAAACAAUUCCGCCUGGCCCUCGAUUUUUUCCAUUCCUCAAUUUCUCGUAGUUAUUAAAACAUUUGAAAAUAGUUCUUAUUUAAAUUCUAGGACUCUUUAUCAUUUUUUUUUUAUCAAUAAAUAUUAGCGAAAGAUUAUUCUCAAGAUUAUUUAAUGUUUUCAAAAUAUGUAGGGCACUUGGCGGUCAAAAAGGGAAAAGAAAAGGUUGAAACCAAAAUUCUGCGGAUGUUGUAGAAAAAAAGGACAAGAAAAAAACCUAACACAAUCUCAAUAAGGCCAUUUCUUUUCUUUAUUUUAUUUAUUUCUUUUGAAUUGGGGGUACCAGGGUUUCAACAAACCCACGACCUUGAAUCUUCAUAGGAAAUGCCCGAUUAUACAAAAAAGAAAGAUCUGGUGUUCACUUUUAUAAGCCUGGAAUUUAAUUAAUUGAGCCUACCUUGAAUUUGUGCUACAGGUAGGUUAGUUGGUACCAGAAUUAACUUUACUUCUUCUUCCUUUUCCAUUGAAAAAAACACAAGAAAAAAGAAAAAAAGAAAGAGCAGUUACAAAAUUUCCACGAGGAAGCAAAAAAGAAUUUGGAUGGCACCUCUUGGUCCUCGUGGAAAUGGAAUUGUGGCCCAUUGCAAUUUACAACUGGGAAUUAGCGUACAUUAGAGAGUUGCACUCAGAUUACAUUACUCAAUACUUCAAAUUACGGUAUUGCUGAUCGACACAAUUAUAUUUAUUGCCAAAUACCUUCUCUUCUCCUCCACCAUAUCUACAAAAAUCUUCCUGAGGUGAAACUCUAAACAAUAUUACAAUUACCUGGGAUGAAAUGAACUAUGGGUGACAGUAGCAGCUGAGGAAGAAGCUUCGGUGAGGUUGAAGCAUGAUGGGUCCUCACUGGUGUCGUUUAAUUCCAUUGUCCUCUCAUCCAUGAACGGUGGGUUUGUUGGGGUCGGAAGUUUCUCUUCCUUCUUCAUCAGCAUCUGCAGUACCUUCGACAUUGUGGGUCGGAGAGAUGCACUCUCCUGUGUGCAAAGAAGCCCUAUCUGCACCACUCUCAAUAUUUCCUCUUUUGUGCUCCUAUCUUCCUCAACCAUUAGUCACAGUCUCCAGCAAAACCACACCAAAACUGUACACAUCUGCCUUUUCUGUUAGCUGCCCAUGAGCUAAAUACUCUGGCGCCAUGUAUCCCCUGUGGAUUCAAAAAUCACUUUUUAAUUAAAUCUUCACUAAAACAAUAUGAUCGAUCUCAAUACAAGAAUAUAAAACACACAAGGUUCCAGCAAUGGCAGUGCUGAUGUGACUCUCGUCUUCUUCAAAUGAUCUAGCUAAUCCAAAAUCGGCUAUUUUGGCUCGAAGCUUGGAGUCUAGCAGGAUGUUGCUAGCCUUGAUGUCUCUGUGAAUGAUCUUGGUUUUCGAGUUCUCAUGAAGCGGUCGAGACUCUUGUUGGCAAGGUAUUCAUAGACAAGCAGACUUUCAGGUCCAGAACAACUACAACCGAGCAACCGUACUAAAUUUUUGUGCUCUACACUACUGAUUAUGUUUACUUCAUUGUAAAAAUCUGCUGCUCUAUGUUUGUUAUUGAAGAAAAGCCUCUUCACAGCUAUCUCUCUUCCAUCCGAUAGAACUCCCUAUAUCAACAUGGUAAAAACCUCAGAGUUCAAGCUAUAUUAAUUCAAAUGCACGUUCGAACUGAAGCAAACAAAACAAGACUUGCCUUAUAAACAGUGCCAAAUCCUCCUUGUCCAAGCUUGUUAGCCUCAGCAAAGGAUCCUGUUGCCUUUUCAAGGGUAGAGUACUUGAAAUUCAAGCUACUAUUGUUUAGUGUUUUUGCCAUCUUGUUUGCAUCGUUUGAACCUUUGGAUUGGAUAUAUAAAUAAAGGGUAAUCAUGUGAACAUCGAUGUCCUAAAGCUUAGAGCUCUUGAAGAAUGCAUCGUCUUCUCUAGCUAGCAGUAAUUAGUGUUUUCCUUUUUUUUUCUUUUUCAAGUUCUUGGUACUUAAACCAACAACAAAUAGAAAGGCAGUGUUUUAAAGUUA
Cucumis melo (muskmelon) is the source of this 5948-nucleotide RNA transcript. It is a transcript of the gene named 2-phytyl-1,4-beta-naphthoquinone methyltransferase, chloroplastic, with no coding region annotated. The transcript is spliced from 11 exons. NCBI's taxonomy places the organism in Eukaryota, Viridiplantae, Streptophyta, Magnoliopsida, Cucurbitales, Cucurbitaceae. The record is from RefSeq and is a predicted model, not a curated record.